Molecule: ribosomal RNA, 200 nt
Filed under: uncultured bacterium
Lineage: Bacteria
Description: partial 16S ribosomal RNA
Rfam family: Bacterial small subunit ribosomal RNA
Source: RNAcentral
UAGUCUGCAACUCGACUACAUGAAGCUGGAAUCGCUAGUAAUCGCGGACCAGAAUGCCGCGGUGAAUACGUUCCCGGGUCUUGUACACACCGCCCGUCACACCAUGGGAGUCGGGAAUGCCCGAAGCCAGUGACCCAAGCGAGAGCAGGGAGCUGUCGAAGGCAGGCCGGAUAACUGGGGUGAAGUCGUAACAAGGUAUC